RNAcentral lists this ribosomal RNA (686 nucleotides) under uncultured Bacteroidales bacterium. RNAcentral's name for it is "bacterial SSU rRNA". It matches the Rfam family "Bacterial small subunit ribosomal RNA", at positions 68 to 741 of the family's 1533-position model. The record is from RNAcentral. Lineage: Bacteria; Pseudomonadati; Bacteroidota; Bacteroidia; Bacteroidales.
GGCAGCAUGGUCUUAGCUUGCUAAGGCUGAUGGCGACCGGCGCACGGGUGAGUAACACGUAUCCAACCUGCCGUCUACUCUUGGCCAGCCUUCUGAAAGGAAGAUUAAUCCAGGAUGGGAUCAUGAGUUCACAUGUCCGCAUGAUUAAAGGUAUUUUCCGGUAGACGAUGGGGAUGCGUUCCAUUAGAUAGUAGGCGGGGUAACGGCCCACCUAGUCAACGAUGGAUAGGGGUUCUGAGAGGAAGGUCCCCCACAUUGGAACUGAGACACGGUCCAAACUCCUACGGGAGGCAGCAGUGAGGAAUAUUGGUCAAUGGGCGAUGGCCUGAACCAGCCAAGUAGCGUGAAGGAUGACUGCCCUAUGGGUUGUAAACUUCUUUUAUAAAGGAAUAAAGUCGGGUAUGCAUACCCGUUUGCAUGUACUUUAUGAAUAAGGAUCGGCUAACUCCGUGCCAGCAGCCGCGGUAAUACGGAGGAUCCGAGCGUUAUCCGGAUUUAUUGGGUUUAAAGGGAGCGUAGAUGGAUGUUUAAGUCAGUUGUGAAAGUUUGCGGCUCAACCGUAAAAUUGCAGUUGAUACUGGAUGUCUUGAGUGCAGUUGAGGCAGGCGGAAUUCGUGGUGUAGCGGUGAAAUGCUUAGAUAUCACGAAGAACUCCGAUUGCGAAGGCAGCCUGCUAAGCUGCAACU